UUUUUUAGAAAUGAAUUUAAUUCAUACAUCUAAUUUAAUUUCUGUUGUUGUUAUAUUUAUUUUUAUUUGAUGUUAAGAUUAAGGGGGAUUAGCUCCUUGUUUUAUUUUUAUAAUUUUUAAUUUAAUUUAGUUUUGUGGAUUUUAUAGUGAUUUUCAAUUUGAUUAUGUUAAAAUUUUAUUUUUUCUUUUGUUUAAUUUUUGUUAAUUUAAAUUUUUAUUGAAAUGUUUUCUUUAUCUUUUUUUGUUUGGUAAUUAUUGUGUAAUUAGUAAAUUUUGUUUUAUUAUGGUAUUUAUACUUAUUGGUGUUAAUUUCUUUUUAGGAAUUAGGCAAAAAGCAUGUCCGCCUGUUUAACAAAAACAUCUUUUCUUGUUAGUUUUUGAAGUAUGGCCUGCCCACUGACUUAGGUUAAAGGGCCGCGGUAUUUUGACCGUGCAAAGGUAGCAUAAUCAUUAGUUCUUUAAUUGUGAUCUGGUAUGAAUGGCUUGACGAGACAUGGGCUGUCUUAGGUAGAAUUGAUUUAUUGAAUUUAGUUUUUGAGUUAAAAUUCUUAGAUGUUUUUAUGGGACGAGAAGACCCUAUAGAGUUUGACAUUUUGUUUAUUAUUUUGGUUAGAGGUUUGUUGUGAUUGUCUUAGUAGGCUAGAAUGUUUUGUUGGGGUGAUGGGAGGAAUUUUUUUAACUCCUCUUUGUUUUGUUAUAUUCAUUUAUAUAUGUAUGAUCC
This 721-nucleotide ribosomal RNA is filed under the name Inquilinitermes inquilinus. RNAcentral describes it as "partial 16S ribosomal RNA". The stretch from base 336 to 496 matches the Rfam family "Archaeal large subunit ribosomal RNA", at positions 1883 to 2090 of the family's 2987-position model. The record is from RNAcentral. Lineage: Eukaryota; Metazoa; Arthropoda; Insecta; Blattodea; Termitidae.